Molecule: non-coding RNA, 32 nt
Filed under: Macaca fascicularis (crab-eating macaque)
Lineage: Eukaryota; Metazoa; Chordata; Mammalia; Primates; Cercopithecidae
Also listed under: 1 other name
Source: RNAcentral
CAGAGGAUUUGGGUCUUUGUUGGUUUUGGCCC